GAUAACACAAUUGCCGAAACCCAUCACGCUGUGCUCUGCCAACAGAAGCGCGGCAGCAACAAGGCGUGCUCCUCUUUCGCCAGCGGGGUAUACGGUAAUGAUGCUUGCUCUGUUGUCCCA
This is a non-coding RNA of Caenorhabditis elegans, 120 nucleotides long. NCBI's taxonomy places the organism in Eukaryota, Metazoa, Nematoda, Chromadorea, Rhabditida, Rhabditidae. The record is from Ensembl.